RNAcentral lists this ribosomal RNA (233 nucleotides) under uncultured Actinomycetales bacterium. RNAcentral's name for it is "partial 16S ribosomal RNA". It matches the Rfam family "Bacterial small subunit ribosomal RNA", at positions 97 to 334 of the family's 1533-position model. The record is from RNAcentral. Lineage: Bacteria; Bacillati; Actinomycetota; Actinomycetes; Actinomycetales.
GGCGAACGGGUGAGUAACACGUGGGUGAUCUGCCCUGCACUUCGGGAUAAGCCUGGGAAACUGGGUCUAAUACCGGAUAGGAGCCAUUUUUAGUGUGAUGGUUGGAAAGUUUUUCGGUGCAAGAUGAGCUCGCGGCCUAUCAGCUUGUUGGUGGGGUAAUGGCCUACCAAGGCGUCGACGGGUAGCCGGCCUGAGAGGGUGUACGGCCACAUUGGGACUGAGAUACGGCCCAG